Molecule: ribosomal RNA, 503 nt
Filed under: uncultured bacterium
Lineage: Bacteria
Description: partial 16S ribosomal RNA
Rfam family: Bacterial small subunit ribosomal RNA
Source: RNAcentral
AUUGAACGCUGGCGGCAGGCUUAACACAUGCAAGUCGAGCGGGGUGAUGGUGCUUGCACUAUCACUUAGCGGCGGACGGGUGAGUAAUGCUUAGGAAUCUGCCUAUUAGUGGGGGACAACAUCUCGAAAGGGAUGCUAAUACCGCAUACGUCCUACGGGAGAAAGCAGGGGAUCACUUGUGACCUUGCGCUAAUAGAUGAGCCUAAGUCGGAUUAGCUAGUUGGUGGGGUAAAGGCCUACCAAGGCGACGAUCUGUAGCGGGUCUGAGAGGAUGAUCCGCCACACUGGGACUGAGACACGGCCCAGGCUCCUACGGGAGGCAGCAGUGGGGAAUAUUGGACAAUGGGGGGAACCCUGAUCCAGCCAUGCCGCGUGUGUGAAGAAGGCCUUAUGGUUGUAAAGCACUUUAAGCGAGGAGGAGGUUCUUUUGGUUAAUACCCAAGAUGAGUGGACGUUACUCGCAGAAUAAGCACCGGCUAACUCUGUGCCAGCAGCCGCAGUAA